Molecule: ribosomal RNA, 400 nt
Filed under: uncultured bacterium
Lineage: Bacteria
Description: bacterial SSU rRNA
Rfam family: Bacterial small subunit ribosomal RNA
Source: RNAcentral
GGGGAAUAUUGCACAAUGGAGGAAACCCUGAUGCAGCAACGCCGCGUGAGUGAUGACGGUCUUCGGAUUGUAAAGCUCUGUCUUCUGGGACGAUAAUGACGGUACCUGAGGAGGAAGCCACGGCUAACUACGUGCCAGCAGCCGCGGUAAUACGUAGGUGGUAAGCGUUGUCCGGAUUUACUGGGCGUAAAGGGAGCGUAGGUGGAUAUUUAAGUGGGAUGUGAAAUACUCGGGCUUAAACUGGGUGCUGCAUUCCAAACUGGAUAUCUAGAGUGCAGGAGAGGAAAGUAGAAUUCCUAGUGUAGCGGUGAAAUGCGUAGAGAUUAGGAAGAAUACCAGUGGCGAAGGCGGCUUUCUGGACUGUAACUGACGCUGAGGCAUGAAAGCGUGGGGAGCAAAC